CCAUAAUUCUUUAUUUCUUCUUUUAGGGUCCAUUAGUUGAUGAGACGUUGCCGUUUUGGAGCAUCGUCUCCUUCCAUUCCAAUCCCCUUCUCUGAAAAAAAAAACGGAGCGGAGGACUUGAGGAGUGACGACUGAGGAGUGAGGAGUGGGGACUGAUCUGAGCUUUCGGUAUUGAUAAGAGGUUCCGAGCCCAACACAGCAACACUGCAGUCAAGUAAUGUCCAAGGAGAUGGCCUUGUUAGCCUUCUUCAAUCGGGCUCUUACUUAAGCUCCUCUCUAAACCAGAGGAUAUAAAUGCUCUUUGGCAACUUCUCGUCCAAAGCGUGGGAAUCACAGAUAUGGUGCAAGUGAGGAUGGGAGGACCUUGUUGUUUCCAUGGCGGAAACGAGUGUCACAAUCAUAGCUGUUAGCUAGCUCUACCAAUCCAUGAAUGAGACUAUCAGCAAAGUCCAAGAAGAACCACUCCAGGAUAAAAGAUCCGUGUUAGAACAAGUAGCUACAACACACAAAGCAAGCCUCAGGAAAUAACAAUUUACUCCUACCUACCAAAGCACAGAGGUCAACAACAAG
This is a non-coding RNA of Camelina sativa (false flax), 570 nucleotides long. The record is from RefSeq and is a predicted model, not a curated record. Lineage: Eukaryota; Viridiplantae; Streptophyta; Magnoliopsida; Brassicales; Brassicaceae.